GUAUGCGGCUUUGAAUGACGCUGCGGUAGGGUAGGUGCGCACCAAUGUGGCGAAAAAGUGAAGCAAAAAGAGUAAAAGAGUGACAAAAAAAAAAAAGCAAAGACAAAGAAAAACGCGGGGGGCAGCAAAAUUAAAACGCUUUAGCGACUAACUGCUGGUGCUGGCAAUCACCAACAAGCGAGCUAGUGGCGUUUUUCGUGACGUUAUCGACAUACACACCCACUCAAACAGCAGAGAAUUUGUGUGCGAUCCAACGAUACGAACAAGGAGCACGCAAAAGGAAAUUACUACGAUGUCGCCGCCAAUAGCGAGAGGUGAUGGCGAAGAAUCAACGCGAAAAUUGCCCAGCGAGCCGACUGUCCAUUAGGCAAGUAAGAAAUAAAAGCAAAAGUAAAAAAGAGCAACGCAACGACGUAGCUGAAUGGAUGAUUGCCUGGCUGGCUCGCUGGCUUGAUGGCCUGCCGACUGGUUCAUUGACAGUCACCGCCAGCGCAAGCAAGCGACGACUUCAAUACAUUAUUCUUAUUUGCCAAUAAGCGACUGAAUGUAAAUAAGAAUAGCAGUCAGUGUAUGCAUCUAUGUGCUUAUGUAUGCAUAGAAAUUUGUACAAAUGCCACAUACUAAAUGACUGGUUGUCUAGCAGGCAGGCAGAGGGGCAGUGGCGGCUGCUUGAGCAGCGUUCGCAAUGGUGGCGGCGUUGAUGAUGACAAUGACGAUGGUAAAUGACGCUUGGCAACGCGCAACAGCAGAAACACCAACAAGAAGCAAAUAAACAAUAACAAGCAUUGAAACUGCUGCGGCAGUGACGGCUGGCCAAGCUUGUUGGCACAGUCAUAUGAGAGCAACAGAGCGGCGACACGGCACGUAUUUUUGCCAGCGCAAGCAGUCAGGCGAAGGAAGUUCGAAUGUGCAAUGUGCACACGCGAGGGGUCUUGGAUGACGUAUGAUAGAACGACAAGCAAUAGUGUUGUGAAAAAUGAAAACCAAAAACGCGAACAGCUUUUCGCAGACAAAAAUGGAGGAGAGAGAACUUGGUCACAGUGGCAGUCGCAGUCACGGUGUGCAAAUUACGGUCAGCGACGGCAUAGCAAUAAUCACAGCAACAUAAAUGGUCUCGUCGUCCCGAGCAGGGUGAUCUAAGCUAAGCUGCGUAGGUCGAGGGAAACAAGGGUUUAGACGAAAUCAUUAAAGCCUAACCGCGCAGAAAUGUUGCUGCUGACGAUAACGGCUAUGGCUAGUGGUAGCUAGUGUCGUUCUGGUCGCAACGUUGGCAAAUGGAUGGCAGUAAAAAUGCGUUGAGUUCUGCUGCUGAGCAGAAAAACAAGGCGCAUAAAAUCGCAAAGCAUUUUUUUUCUAUUUUUGUAUUUUUUAUUGUUAUCAUUUUUUUCGACUUAAACAUUCCCUUUUUACCCACAUACAUAUGUAUAUUACAGCUGGCAUUCUCGCACAACGCAAUCGACAGCAGCCAAGGCACACUACUGAUAAACCUGUGGGGGAAAAACAUACAUACAUCUGUAUGUAUAUAACGAAAGCAUGAAACACACGACCAUGACAUAUGAAUCACUCGCAGCAGUAUGCAGUCAGCCAUUAAGAGCGAAACGAUGCAAAAAUGCUGUAGUUGUGAGGCAUGAUGAGGUAGAAUGGAGUGACCGGUCGCCUGUCGCUGGAUGAAAGUAGAGUCCGAUGGGUGAUGUUUUUAUUGUAAUCGCACAUUGUACUUUCAUAUAUUACUGACUAGCAACGUGAUGAUGGUGAUGGUGAUAACGAUGAUGAUGUAGCAGCCAUGGUUGCUAUUAGUUGACGUAUAGUGUGAUGCGUUCUCCAGCACAUAACUGCCUGACGAACGGCGAAAUGAGUCGUGAAGCCAGACACUCCUUCAACGCGGCUAAUGACGAAGCAGGUCUCCGAGGAGCGUGCACAUGGGUCAGUGCGAGCUAGCGGCCGAUUUGACUAGUGUCGGCUUUACUGCAGACCGACUGCAGAUACGAGCCGUUACAUUCGGUCAACGCGUAACACUCGCCGCGCAAAGUUGCCAAUAGUUGCGGUUGGGCGGAUAGGAAACGCAACAGAUCGCCAAACCGACUGACGAUUCAAACUCACUGUCUACGUGCACUGUGACAUUGUUGAGAAUGCAGAUGCUGUUGCUGCUGCUGUUACGAACGGAAGUGGGCGCAAUGAAGAGUGUGUUGUUUUCCAGCACAAUGAAGUAUGAUAGAUUUUUAUGGUAUGAGUAAAUGUACAUACAUACAGCUAUGCACAGAGAAAUAGCACUUCCAAAUUUUUUUUUCAAACGAUGGUUUUUUGAAAAUUUUUAUGUUAAAGUGUUUUUUAUUUAUUUUUAGAAACUUGGUUUCGAUGUGAUAUUAUAUAAAAAAGAACAAACACUAAAUUAAAUUAACUUAUUAUCAUUUGGCAUUUCUUUUUUAUUAUGAAGUUCACCGAUUUCGGCAGUACACAGAAAUAGCAGACUUUCGGAAUUAUGUAAACGACUUUGCGCUGACCAUUCUAAUUUAUCAAUAUUUUCGGUAUAUGGUAUAACCAAAUCUUUACUGCUUUAGCUACAUGUUUCGGAUCAUUAUUAUGCAUAAAUAUCAAAUAUCAUAUAUUACAGGAAUUGAUUCCACACACUAAAAUCAAUAACUUUCUUGAACAACUUUAAAUCAAAUGAGAAAUAAUCAAUAAUAGCCGAACACCUGCAAUGGCAAUAUGCAAGUUACCAAAGAAAUUGCCAGCCACAAAAUACUUAGUUUUAUAAUGGGACAUAGUUUACCAAUGCAUGCUACUUCAGAGCUGUUUAUGCUUUAUGCUCUUUUUCCGGAGUCUGCAAGAAGUCAUAAUCCAGCGCUAACCACUAGGAAGAUUACAUUUAGUCUACUGUCCAAUCAUUAUUUAAUAAAUUUUUUUAUCUAAUUUUA
Molecule: long non-coding RNA, 2915 nt
Organism: Bactrocera oleae (olive fruit fly)
Lineage: Eukaryota; Metazoa; Arthropoda; Insecta; Diptera; Tephritidae
Source: RefSeq, a predicted model, not a curated record